Molecule: unclassified non-coding RNA, 655 nt
Filed under: Leishmania donovani
Lineage: Eukaryota; Euglenozoa; Kinetoplastea; Trypanosomatida; Trypanosomatidae
Description: gene:unknown
Source: RNAcentral
CGCACACAUCAACACUCCAUACCUGCCCUUCAACACUGCUAUUGAAAACAACAACCCCCGUUCUACGCCCCCUUUUCGCACACGCACGUACACGCAGACGCUACUCUUUCGCUUCUUUUCGCGUCAGGCGCGCGGAGCGCACACAAAGAAAACCGAGACGAUAAAAGAAAAAAAGCGUUAGCGCGAGGAGCACCCAUAACCAACGUACACGUCUCCCCCGAGCCUUAGCCCGCGACGCGUGCAUUCCUGAUCUGACUGCCGCAUAGCAAAUCAGAAAGUCCGCCAUUCAAUAGACACAGAGAACACACACACACACACGACACACAAAAAGAAACAUUUUGAAAGACCCUAAAAAAAAGCAACGCACCCACGCAUCAUACGGUGGGGGCAGUGGCGGCGGACCCAACGUGUUCGUUCGGGCCAGCCUUAUCACGCAAAGGAAAGCAGAACCAACAAACGAACGGAUAAAACGGUGUCGCCUCUUCUUCUGCGUGACGCCGAGUAUCUGUCGUUCUCGCUCUUGCGAUUUGGCGGACUCGCACUAUAUCAGCUCUCGUAUGCAGCACCUUCGCUUUCUUGCCCUCACUUGUUCUCUUAUGCGAGUUUUUCUUCGCCUUCAACUCGAUUCGUCGUCGUUGUGCAUUAUUUGGCAAAG